UGGGGCUCUGCCUCUCUAGCCCCGGGCAAAUGCCAGUGGAUCCCUGGGAGGUGAGUGUCAGGACCGCGACAGGGACUGUGGGUGUCUGCUGUGACCGGAGGCCCGAGGUCCGGGGCCAUUGGAGCCCCUGGGCGAGCAGUGCGGGCCCAGGCCUUGUGGGAAGCAGUGGCCGCCUGACUGUGCCGCCGGGCGCACUCCUGACCUGAUUUCCUUGUGAAACCUUGUAUGGUAGUAGAAAAAUUCUCAGGACAAACUUCAUUUGGUAAGCCCCCCCCCCAUUCUUUCUGUGAUAAUUUAAGGAAGGGAAAAAUUAAUUUGUAGAUUGAUUGUGGAGACCUGGUCGUCUUUGUCCAUAAUUAUUUAGAUGAGUUUUUCUGUUUAUUGUAAUGCCC
This 392-nucleotide long non-coding RNA is filed under the name Fukomys damarensis (Damara mole-rat). Its description in RNAcentral is "lncRNA (ENSFDAG00000030648.1)". Lineage: Eukaryota; Metazoa; Chordata; Mammalia; Rodentia; Bathyergidae. The record is from RNAcentral.